RNAcentral lists this ribosomal RNA (253 nucleotides) under uncultured bacterium. RNAcentral describes it as "partial 16S ribosomal RNA". It matches the Rfam family "Bacterial small subunit ribosomal RNA", at positions 524 to 776 of the family's 1533-position model. The record is from RNAcentral.
GACGAACCGAGCGAACGUUGUUCGGAAUCACUGGGCUUAAAGGGCGCGUAGGCGGACUGCCGCGUCCGGGGUGAAAUCCUCCGGCUCAACCGGGGAAGGGCCUCGGAUACGGGCGGUCUGGAGGGGGGUAGGGGCGUGCGGAACUGUGGGUGGAGCGGUGAAAUGCGUUGAGAUCCACAGGAACUCCGGUGGCGAAGGCGGCACGCUGGACCCCUUCUGACGCUGAGGCGCGGAAGCCAGGGGAGCGAACGGG